GAUGAAGAACGUAGUGAAAUGCGAUAAGUAGUGUGAAUUGCAGAACUCAGUGAAUCAUCGAAUCUUUGAACGCACAUUGCGCCCCAUGGUAUUCCGUGGGGCAUGCCUGUUCGAGCGUCAUUUACCCCCUCAAGCUCCGCUUGGUGUUGGGCGUCUGUCCCGCUUCGCGCGCGGACUCGCCCCAAAGGUAUUGGCAGCGGUCGUGCCAGCUUCUCGCGCAGCACAUUGCGCUUCUCGAGGCACCGGUGGGCCCGCGUCCAUCAAGCUCACCCCCCCAGUUUGACCUCGGAUCAGGUAGGGAUACCCGCUGAACUUAAGCAUAUCAAUAAGCGGAGGA
This 337-nucleotide unclassified non-coding RNA is filed under the name soil metagenome. RNAcentral's name for it is "partial contains 5.8S ribosomal RNA, internal transcribed spacer 2, and large subunit ribosomal RNA". The stretch from base 1 to 120 matches the Rfam family "5.8S ribosomal RNA", at positions 35 to 154 of the family's 154-position model. The record is from RNAcentral.